GGAGUCUGGGCCGUGUCUCAGUCCCAAUGUGGCCGUUCAACCUCUCAGUCCGGCUACCGAUCGUCGCCUUGGUGGGCCGUUACCCCGCCAACAAGCUAAUCGGACGCGAGUCCAUCAAUGAGCGAUAAAAUCUUUGGUAUCAAAGUCAUGCGGCUUCGAUACGUUAUGCGGUAUUAGCGUCCUUUUCAGAACGUUAUUCCACUCUCAUCGGCAGGUUACUCACGCGUUACUCACCCGUCCGCCACUAAGAUAUUCCAAAAUCCAAUCGAAACCUUCAUUCGAAAUAUCUCCGUUCGACUUGCAUGUGUUAGGCACGCCGCCAGCGUUCGUCCUCGAGCCAUGAUCAAACUACU
Molecule: ribosomal RNA, 353 nt
Filed under: uncultured Ruminococcus sp.
Lineage: Bacteria; Bacillati; Bacillota; Clostridia; Eubacteriales; Oscillospiraceae
Description: partial 16S ribosomal RNA
Source: RNAcentral